RNAcentral lists this ribosomal RNA (504 nucleotides) under uncultured bacterium. Its description in RNAcentral is "bacterial SSU rRNA". It matches the Rfam family "Bacterial small subunit ribosomal RNA", at positions 28 to 580 of the family's 1533-position model. The record is from RNAcentral.
AACGAACGCUGGCGGCAGGCCUAACACAUGCAAGUCGAACGCUCCGCAAGGAGAGUGGCAGACGGGUGAGUAACGCGUGGGAAUUUCCCCCAAGGUUCGGAAUAACUGAGGGAAACUUCAGCUAAUACCGAAUGGUACCGAGAGGUUAAAGAUUUAUCGCCUUGGGAUGAGCCCGCGUUGGAUUAGCUAGUUGGUGAGGUAACGGCUCACCAAGGCUGUGAUCCAUAGCUGGUCUGAGAGGACGACCAGCCACACUGGGACUGAGACACGGCCCAGACUUCUACGGAAGGCAGCAGUGGGGAAUCUUGGACAAUGGGCGCAAGCCUGAUCCAGCCAUGCCGCGUGGGCGAUGAAGGUCUUCGGAUUGUAAAGCCCUUUUGGCGGGGACGAUAAUGACGGUACCCGCAGAAUAAGCUCCGGCUAACUUCGUGCCAGCAGCCGCGGUAAUACGAAGGGGGCUAGCGUUGUUCGGAAUUACUGGGCGUAAAGCGUGCGCAGGCGGUC